CCAAGUUAGUUGCCGCGGGGGUCGAAUGCGGUUAGCCACCCUACUUCCCCCUCCCCGGGGAGUGGGAACAGGGAAUAAGCGUUAAGGUGAAUCCAGGGUUCGAUUAGGGAUAUUUCAAGAUUAGAGAUAGCGCCACCAGUCGCCACUGAGAAUUUCACUUUCCUUCGACGAUUACUGAGAUAAUAUUGUUCAAAUUCCAAAAAGCAGAUCCACAAGAUCUAGAUUAUUUUCUGCUUGAUUUUUUGAGCCAAAAAUAUUGACAAUCAGACUUACAAGCGCAGAGAAAGUACGGCUGAAAGUUUCAAAACUUCUCAGAGGCUCUUGAGGGGCGUUUUUUUCAUAAGCGGUGACCGCUGUUGUGCAACACUGGAGAUUGCUGACCACCGAAUGGCGGCUGUUGCUACUAGAACUUGCCUAUUGGUGUUGUUAUUUUGAUUAUAGGUUAUGUUCAGUUCGAAGGAAUUUGUACGAUUUGUCUUGACAAUUUUGUCCUUCAAAAAAGUGUUUUAAAAAAAGGAAUACUUUUAUUGCUGUAUUUACAACUGUAUCUACGAAAUCUCAAACACACAUAAUACAAAUACAAUAAUACAUAAUACAUGUCUACAAUUACAACAGUAGAAGGAUUUCGAAAAUUGGGCAGAUUGAAGUGCCAGUGUUUUUCCUGUGAAACGAAAAUGUGCUGAUGAACGAAUGAAACAAGAAGGUGACAACGAACUUUCAACUCAUGAUUCCAGCUCAUUCCUAAAAAGAAAAUGAAGCAUGAACCAGGGCAAAAGUAGACACGGCUUCAUAUGAAAUUUUCUUGUGAUGAAACAUGUUUCCUAUUUGAUAUGCUCAAUGUACGGUCGCCCGCUCGUUGAAUCUCUACCGUCAAAAUUAAUAUUUGAUCAGGCCACUCUCUGCAGUCCCGGAAUGAAUUACAUUAAAUAG
RNAcentral lists this long non-coding RNA (930 nucleotides) under Bemisia tabaci. RNAcentral describes it as "lncRNA ENSSSA2NGG009534". Lineage: Eukaryota; Metazoa; Arthropoda; Insecta; Hemiptera; Aleyrodidae. The record is from RNAcentral.